UACGGAGGAGGCAAGCGUUAUCCGGAAUUAUUGGGCGUAAAGCGUCCGUAGGUGGGUGAGGAAGUCUGCUGUCAAAGCGUGAGGCUUAACCUCAUAAGGGCAGUGGAAACUCUUCGUCUAGAGUGCGACAGGGGCAAGGGGAAUUCCUAGUGUAGCGGUGAAAUGCGUAGAGAUUAGGAAGAACACCGGUGGCGAAAGCGCCUUGCUGGGUCUGCACUGACACUGAGGGACGAAAGCUAGGGGAGCGAAAGGG
RNAcentral lists this ribosomal RNA (253 nucleotides) under uncultured bacterium. RNAcentral's name for it is "partial 16S ribosomal RNA". It matches the Rfam family "Bacterial small subunit ribosomal RNA", at positions 524 to 776 of the family's 1533-position model. RNAcentral also lists the same sequence under 1 other name. The record is from RNAcentral.